GUCAACAGAUUUUUGUUCGGCAAUAUUGAAAAAUUGUACAUUUAAGCCUAUGACAUUAAUAUUUUCUUGCUUUGACUGAACGUUUUCAGCAUAGCACGCAUUACGGGUUUUUAAAAAAUUUCAUCUUUUGGAACAAUCUUUUCUCCACAAGAAUCCCGGAUAGAAAUGUUCUGAAUCAGAGUGACAUAGCCAUCUUUACAAUUGGCUCUAAACUCGAUGAAAUUGCAGGCUGUGGAAUUCACUCGGCAUUACCACCCCUUCAUUGCAGCGUAUUCCACAGAGAACUUACCGCAAAUCCAGAUAUUUGGUUAUAAAUCAAUCGAUAACCAAUAAUCAAAAAUCCAAGCCACCAUGAGAUCUCUUCAAUCCGGACUUAGGGAAAUUCUAAGCAACUGCCUGGCGGAGGAGUAAGCGAGAGAAGGUACCACUCUAACUACAAUCCAUGCACAUCGCGGACAUACCUUUGUCUAGGGCAAAGCUUAGGCUAAAGUUCACCAAAACAGCCAACAUCAGAUGACUCAACGAAAGAACUUGCAACAUGACUAGACAACUUUGGCCUGCGCUGAACGCUAAAAGAUCAAGGAAUUUGGUCCUCUUAGACCAGUUCAUCAUCAAUAAGACAUUGUUUAAUUGUACUUUGCGGUAUGACAAUGUGGUAUAUAUCGAAUGAUUUUUUCGAGCCUUUAGAGAUGCAGAGGAGGAGGAGUCUGUCGAUGUUCGGCACUGAAUAUUAUCCGAUAUAACUACCCCGGAUAUCACUUUUUUGAUUGCCUGUUCGUUCGUACAUUUGAGAAGUUGAGAAGCAGGUCUUCCGUGAGCCAUAAGUGCGCAGGUCGCUCUGAUCAGCAACCGUAUUAAUUCACCUAAACUCUCAUUUCGCCAGUCUCUUUCUUAGCAACAAUGCUUUGUUCUAAAAAUUUUCAUAAAUUUCAAAUUCGGUUACAAAAAUCUUGCAAAAUUAUUUACAUAAGCCUUCUAAAAUUCACUCUAUACUGUUGGAGAACGGGGAUCAAGCCAAUCCAUGAGGUUAUUUUUGAGUUUAUCAGAAACAGACAGCCAGACGAGUAGCGUGAUCUUGCUUUAUAAUAUUUAAGGAAUCAAGGAUUGACUCUUCCUCCAAUUUAUUGCGUGCGUGUCUUGAUGUUUCUCCAGCAAGUAGAGAGGGACCAUCAAUUUUUUCUAAGCCGCCUCCGAACGGCAGAUGGUUUCUAAUUAGGAACUUAUAAUUUCAAGUCAGAUAUAUCCCCAUGGACAUGGAAUUAUCGUUAUUUGGAAUAGCCUGGUGGAUGUCACUUUUUGAGUUGAAAUUGUCUAGCAUUCAAGUAAAAAUUAUAACAGCAAUAAAAAUUCAAGAUUUCAUUGAAAAAUCAUCCCCGCUAAGUAAAACUGCCUCAUCUGGAGCUAGGAAAUCCCAAGAUUUAUGGUUGGAAAACCUAUCCAUCCUCAACGCGUAAAUGUUUGGUGUGGAAAUAUUGGACCUUUCAUUUCCGAUAAUGAAUGGGUUGAGUUAUCGAGAGCUGAUUAAUGACUUUUUAUGGCCGCAUUUGGAUGGUAUUGGUCUUCUCAUUCAAUAGGAACGAAAACAUCGAUCUUUUAAAGGAAAAGUAUUGGAAAACCCUGUAAAUGUACACUCAACAAUGAUUUGAACCACACAGUCUCGCUCUACUUGGGACUUACCUUGUAUAUACUUAGUGCAAAUAAAAAAAGAUCUUAAUAGAAUUAUUAUCUACAAAGCUAUUAACUUGAUUAUUAAUAUUAUAUUAUGCACUUAAUACAUUUAAAAUAUUAUUAACUUCCUGCAUAUGUAAAGAAAUCGGUUGGACAAGUCCAAGGAACAAUAAAAACGUUGACAUGCAUAUAUCAUAAUGACGUCAUUACGUAAAUUUGCACUAACAAGACAUAUGACAUGUGUCUAUUUAUGCACUUCAUAUACUCAAACGAGUACUAGUCAGUAUACAUGUGUAUAUGUACAUAUAUGUAUGUAUACACUUUAAAUUUCUUAUGCAAUUCAAAGCAGUUAUUGCAAAUACAAUUUGUCGUUUUUACAUAAAAAUAUAAAUUGUCAAGUCUCUCGUUAGCAGCAGCUUAGUUGAUAUUCAAUCCGGGUUAGUGGAGCACAACUGUGUAGAUUCUUGGUAGAAUAAUUGGCAAAACUCUAGAGAGAAAUUCCUUUGACAUAUUUUGUUGCAGGACAUUCAAACAGGUUUGCUAUUGAAUCAAAACUAGUUUGCUUUGAAAAUAUGGACAGCUGCAUUUGGUUGCGUUUUGGCAAAUUUUUCCGUAUUAAAAAGAUUCUCAAAUUCAUUCAAUUAAUUGUCGUUUUAAAAUCGAACUAUUUAUUUCUAUAAUUAUACUCGUCUGUACUCUUUUUUUAUAGUGGACUGUUUAAAAUAUUAAUUAAAAUUAAAUUUUCUAAUUUGCGGUCGCCUCUCGACAAGGAAAGUCAAGCCCCCCUCAUAAACUAGUCUCCUUUAGAACUUAAAAAACGCGUUUUCCAGCAGUUUUUUUUUUAGUGUAUUUCGGACAUGAAAUAAAGUCUCCUCAU
Molecule: long non-coding RNA, 2545 nt
Filed under: Ceratitis capitata (Mediterranean fruit fly)
Lineage: Eukaryota; Metazoa; Arthropoda; Insecta; Diptera; Tephritidae
Description: uncharacterized LOC110118083
Source: RNAcentral